CAGUAGCCGCGGUAAUACAGAGGGUGCGAGCGUUAAUCGGAUUUACUGGGCGUAAAGCGUGCGUAGGCGGCUUCUUAAGUCGGAUGUGAAAUCCCUGAGCUUAACUUAGGAAUUGCAUUCGAUACUGGUUAGCUAGAGUGUGGGAGAGGAUGGUAGAAUUCCAGGUGUAGCGGUGAAAUGCGUAGAGAUCUGGAGGAAUACCGAUGGCGAAGGCAGCCAUCUGGCCUAACACUGACGCUGAGGUACGAAAGCAUGGGGAGCAAACAGGAUUAGAUACCCGAGUAGUCCCUGUCUCUUAUAC
Molecule: ribosomal RNA, 301 nt
Filed under: uncultured bacterium
Lineage: Bacteria
Description: partial 16S ribosomal RNA
Rfam family: Bacterial small subunit ribosomal RNA
Source: RNAcentral